GCUUGUCUCAAAGAUUAAGCCAUGCAUGUCUAAGUAUAAGCAAACUUGUACUGUGAAACUGCGAAUGGCUCAUUAUAUCAGUUAUAGUCUACUCGAUAGUACCUUACUACUUGGAUAACCGUAGUAAUUCUAGAGCUAAUACAUGCGUUAACUCCUGACCUCACGGAAAGGAUGCACUUAUUAGAUACAACCAACCCUUCGGGUCCCUGGUGAAUCAUAAUAAUUGAGCGAACCGCAUGCUUCGGCGGCGGUGGUUCAUUCAAGUUUCUGCCCUAUCAGCUUUCGAUGGUAGGGUAUUGGCCUACCAUGGCGUUAACGGGUAACGGAGAAUUAGGGUUCGAUUCCGGAGAGGGAGCCUGAGAG
Molecule: ribosomal RNA, 363 nt
Filed under: uncultured Bicosoecida
Lineage: Eukaryota; Bigyra; Bicosoecida
Description: partial small subunit ribosomal RNA
Rfam family: Eukaryotic small subunit ribosomal RNA
Source: RNAcentral